This 291-nucleotide ribosomal RNA is filed under the name Triticum aestivum (bread wheat). RNAcentral describes it as "partial small subunit ribosomal RNA". The record is from RNAcentral. Lineage: Eukaryota; Viridiplantae; Streptophyta; Magnoliopsida; Poales; Poaceae.
AUGGCGGACCGGAGCAACAUGGGCGGCAGCCUUGGGAUGCUAGCCGCGGUCGCCGUGGUGUCGACCGGCAUCAUCCUGGCAUCGUACCACCUCCACCGCCGCCUCGUCGCCGACCUCCAGACGGGCAUCACCGAGCAACGGCGGCAGAGGAGGACGGCGAAGAAGAAGAAGAAGGUGCGGUUCGCGGACGAGGUGAUGGUGGCGGAUCCCUUGUCGGCCCUCCGAGAGUACCGCCGUCGACGGAGGGCCGCGGCCAAUGGCCCCAUUCGGCCGGCGCUGCGUAAGGCCUAG